AAUAUUGGACAAUGGGGGGAACCCUGAUCCAGCCAUGCCGCGUGUUUGAAGAAGGUCGUCGGAUUGUAAAGCACUUUAAGUUGGGAGGAAGAGUUGUAGGCUAAUACCUUGCAAUUUUGACGUUACCAACAGAAUAAGCACCGGCUAACUUCGUCCCAGCAGCCGCGGUAAUACGAAGGGUGCCAGCUUUAAUCGGAAUUCCUGGGCGUAAAGCGCGCGUAGGUGGGUCGUUAAGUUAGAAGUGAAAGCCCCGGGCUUAACCUGGGAAUUGCUUUCAAAACUGACGAGCUAGAGUACGGUAGAGGGUAGUGGAAUUUCCUGUGUAGCGGUGAAAUGCGUAGAUAUAGGAAGGAACAUCAGUGGCGAAGGCGACUACCUGGACUGAUACUGACACUGAGGUGCGAAAGCGUGGGGAGCAAACAGG
Molecule: ribosomal RNA, 424 nt
Filed under: uncultured bacterium
Lineage: Bacteria
Description: partial 16S ribosomal RNA
Rfam family: Bacterial small subunit ribosomal RNA
Source: RNAcentral